AAAAGGGGCUUCUGUCAUGUGAGUGAAACAAAUAGAAUAGGGCACCUCAGUUGCUUUUCAUGUGGAAUUGUCAUCAAGAGAUUUUGGGGGCAUAAUAUUUGUUUUCAAGGUAGCUGGUGAUUGUUGGUUAUAGCACCCUU
Small nuclear RNA from Trichechus manatus latirostris (Florida manatee), 140 nucleotides. RefSeq annotates it as U11 spliceosomal RNA. The transcript has a single exon. NCBI's taxonomy places the organism in Eukaryota, Metazoa, Chordata, Mammalia, Sirenia, Trichechidae. The record is from RefSeq and is a predicted model, not a curated record.